Long non-coding RNA from Anolis carolinensis (green anole), 9492 nucleotides. RefSeq lists it as uncharacterized. The record is from RefSeq and is a predicted model, not a curated record. The transcript is spliced from 2 exons. NCBI's taxonomy places the organism in Eukaryota, Metazoa, Chordata, Lepidosauria, Squamata, Anolidae.
CUCACUCAGCUCUCCGGAUUUUAAGCUGGGACCUUUUGGUCUGCAAGUUCAGCAGCUCAGCACUUUAACACACUGAGCCAGGUCUUAAUGAAGGAUAUAAGGACAAACAAUGACUAAAAUGAUGGGAAGAGGAGCUUGGGAAGUCCCUCCCCCCCCCCCAAUAAUGGGCCAAAGAGAAAACGACUCUUACAGCUUCUCUGACCAAAAACAUAUUUCUGUCCUCGCAAAUUCAAGAGGCUCCCAAAAAAACAGAUCAGGACCCCCACUGAAAUCCAGUACACGGAAAAGGGUUACAGUUUACCCUGAUUGCACAAGCUUAGAAGCCAGCAGCUAUCACUGUUUAUUUUUGUUGCCAUUGAAAUUAAUUGUGCACCAUAGAAAUUCAGCGGCAACCCAUUUGCAACAUAGAGUCCUGCCAAUGUUGAGAUCAAAAUGUCUACUUUCCUUUUGGAAUGAAAGAAAACGUUCUUCUAUUUCUCCCCCAUUUUCUUUCCCAUUAUGUUUUGGCAGUGCAAUACUGAAAUAGCAUAUGUGUCCAGUGGCCUAAGGACUACCGUGCUUAACCCUUAUUAGAUUUAGUUGACCAUAGCAUUGUGAUGGAGAAUGUUGAAAUUCCUAGAGAGGUGUUUUUUCAGAUAAAAAAUUAGCAUUUUGAAUUUUGUAUUUUCCUCACCUUCACAGGAAUCUUGCAUUCCUAACUCCAGUGAAUGUGAAGGGUUUAUUCAAUAGCAUUUAUUAUUCCUUGGUAGCCUCCCAUCUAACACGUAACCAGGGCUGACUCUGCUGACUUUCCAUACUCAGACAGUCUCUGGUUCCUUUAAUAAUAACUUUUAUAAUAACUUUAUUUUUAUAUCCAGCCUCCAUUUCCCCGAAGGGAAUUGGGGCGGCUUAAAUGAGGACAAGCCAACAAAGAUUAAAACCAAACAUAGAUUAAAACAUAUCUCAAUACAGUCAACGACAUUAUAACAAGACAAUAACAUAAACACAGCAUCAUCAACAGCCAAUAGUCUUUAGGAUAUUUUGGGCUUUCUGGGGACUGUAGCCCCCAAAAUACGGCUUCAGAGUUGUAGGAAGAUUAUUUUACUUUCCAAAGGUUUCCUUUUUGUGACCCUCUCCACUUUUGUGCACUGAUAGGAUCAAACUCGGCAGAAAAAUAGGAUGGCAUGCCUGUGUUUGGAGAGCGGGAGAGAGAGUAAUCAUUUCAAAUGCCAACAUUUAUUAAAUGCUGCUCAUUUCACAGGCUGCCCAAGAUGAACAUAACAGGAGAGCCUUUGGCAUCCAGCGAGAAAAAGAAAGCGAGAAAUAUUGAUUGAAAUAAACUGCAGUGUAACUUCCAGGAUCCUUGCUCAAUACUUAUUAUAUGGCUCUGUAGACCGCAGCAAAGCCCACAAGGGCUGGCAAAUUCAGCAAAGCAGUUACAGAAAUGUCAAAUCAUGAUCUUUGCUUGAUGAACACUUGUCUGUCUGAUUCCCCCAUUUAGGGUCUGACUAAAUGGAAACACAGCCGCAAAUGGAAACAGUAUUGAAAUCCCAGUCUCUCACUUCCUUAGUCAGUGCAUCAUGUGCGUGAUGGAAGGGGUGGUUGUGAAUUGUGAGUGGUGUUUGCAGAUGAUGCAGAUAGUUGACUGUCUGCUACUACUAUUUUUCUUGUUGUUGUUCCAAAUAACAUACUCAUGGAAGGUAAAUUGUAGGGGUGAUAUGGAAACAUGAUUUAUAUAUUCAGUUUUAUCAUUUAUUUACUGUAUUGUUAUAAGUGUUUUAUUUAACUUACUAUAUGGAGUGUAAUCACAUUUUAUCAAGCCUUUUUGUUUGGUUUGGUACUGUGAUAUGGCCUAAGGGAUAAUCAAUAAAUGUACUACUAUCUUUCUUGUUGUUCCAAAUAGCAUACUCAUGGAAGGUGAUUUACAGAGCUACAUUAAACAAACACCAUCACCAUCAUCAUCAUGGUGUGGCACAGGCUGUGGUGCAGGCUGGUUAGCAGCCAGCUGCAAUAAAUCACUCUGACCAAGAGGUCAUGAGUUUGAAGCCAGCCCGUGUCAGGGUGAGCACCCGACAAUUAAAAAAUAAUAAUAAUAGCCCCUGCUCGUUAUUGACCUAAGCAACCCGAAAGAUAGUUGCAUCUAUCAAGUAGGAAAUUUAGGUACCAUUUAUAUGUGGGGAGGCUAAUUUACGACACCAUAAAAGUUAUCCAGCCGCCGUUGGAAUGAGGAAGUUGCCAUCAUAGUGGAUGAUAAAGCAGCUGCUCCCCCUGUGGCCGGAAUCAAGCAUAUCCUCAGGAAGCUGGAGAAGGUUUAAAUUGCCUCUGCGUCUGUCUCUGUUCUAUGCUUAUAUGGCAUUGAAUGUUUGCUUUAUAUGUGUACAAUGUGAUCCGCCCUGAGUCCCCUUCGGGGUGAGAAGGGCGGAAUAUAAAUACUGUAAAUAAAUAAAUAAAUAAAUAAAUAAAAUCAUCAACAACAACAACAACAAACAUCCACUUGCCAUGAAUUCUUUGAAAUUAAAAUUGUAAGCACAUUGGAGCAGGUGGGGACCUGUCCUUUUUAUUACCAUGCUAGGUGAAAUAAUAAUCGUUGGGAUAGCCAGUAGAAGCAAGUACAAAACAGAGGGAAAAGGAGAGUCAUUAAAUUACAGAGCACAUGUUUUGGUUGAAGAAAGUCCUAAAGAAUCAGCUAAGAAGUCAUGAUGCAAAGGUCCCAUCUCUGCCUAAGACUUGGAAGAGCUGCUGCCAAUGGACAACAAUGGGCUAGACGCAAGCUAGAGUAUUGUAUUGUAUUUAAUGUGAUGCUGCCUUUGAAACUAUAACAGCAAGGAUUCUUAUUGGGAUUCCUUGUUCAGAUGUGUUAAUAUUUUAUCAGCUAGCUUGUCUGAAUGCUGUAAAGAAAGACACCUAUAUUGGAAGCUAAGCAGUGUUAUCCCUGAUUGUAUCUGGACGGAAGAUUGCCAAUGAAUACCAGAUGCUCCAGGUCAGUGGUUCUCAACUUGGGGUCCCCAGAUGUUUUUGGCCUUCAACUCCCAGAAAUCCUAAACUGGCUGGGAUUUCUGGGAGUUGUAGGCCAAAAACAUCUGGGGACCCCAGGUUGAAAACCACUGCUCUAGGCUAUAUUGCAGGGGAAGGAACUGGCAAAACCACCUCUGAGUAUUCCUUGCCUUAUGAAACUCAUGAGGCUGCUAUAUGUCAACAUGACAGGCUUAUGGCAACACUCACAUACACACACUGUUACAGUCACAUUUCUUUAAAGUGCUGGCUUUAAUUUUUCAUUACCUAAAUCCUUUAGGGUCAAACUACUUUCCUCCAUACCAACAUGCCUUAUUACCUUAUCACAUUGAGACACUUCAGCCUCUAUUCAACCACGGAGAGACACUGAUCUCAUCACAUGAGCUAAACUACUUCUGGCAGUCAUGCAUAGCCCUCCAUAGUUGAAAAGAGGCAGAAGUGUCCUGAAAGGAGGCAAUUCCGGCAAUCAACCUCAUCACAUUGAGAAAAUUCUCUCUUGUAGGACACUUCAGCCUCUUUUCAAACAUGGAGAGGCACAGAGCUCAUCACAUGGACCAGGGUUGAAAAGAGGCAGAAAUGUCUUGAAAGGAGGAAACUCUGAACAUGGGCCAGCAAUAGUGUUCAGAGCUCCUACGUCUUAUUGCACGUUACUCACAUCUUUACAACUGAAAAACAGGUGGGAUGGGAAAAAUUUCCCAUCCUGUUUCAUUGUCCAACCAUCAUCAGUUCUGUUGUAUUCUAUGGGGUUAAAUGCAGAGCAAUAGGAUCUCAUUGAAAGCAAUGGUUUAAACCCGCAUCACUGCCUCUUGUGUCCUCUGGGGUUUGGGGCAAAACAAUCUUUACCAUGAGAAGGUGAGGUUUUAAACUGGUAUCAGUCUCCUUUAAUGUAAGGGGCUUUGGGCAGAGCAAGGGAUCUCUUGGUUUUCCGAUAUUGUUCUUUCUCCUGAUUAGAAACAAAAAAGUAAUACUGACUUUUCGAUGAAUGUAAGAUUAAUGUAUUACCAGCUCUCUAAUUUCCACAUGUGAGUUUGAGUGUGAUGGGGAGGCAGAACGUGAAACGUGACUGCUGAUGAUAUAAGGCCAGGAAGACAUCUUUCCACCAUGUCUCCUGUAUCAAUUUAAUGAUAUAAUAAUAUAUAAUAAUAUUAUACUAUACUAAUAUUAUAAUAUAUUAUAGGUAAAGGUAAAGAUUUUCCCCUGACGUUAAGACCAGUCGUGACCGACUCUGGGGGUUGGCGCUCAUCUCCAUUUCUAAGCCGAAGAGCCAGCGUUGUCCAUAGACACCUCCAAGGUCAUGUGGCCGGCAUGACUGCAUGGAGUGCCGUUACCUUCCCACAGCCUCGGGUUUGUGAUGCGCUAGUAAGAAGACAGCUCGGUCACACCCAAGGUCAAAUGGUAAAGAGUCCGGGCUAAAAAUAUUUCCUAAAUGGCAUCUAAAUGCAAAUAGGUUUUGAAACAGAAAUAUACUAGGCACCUUCAGGCUAGGUUAUUGCAAGAUAUAUCACAUGGGGUUACCAUCUGCAGGAGAAGAAUGAAGUGGGUGAUGUGGAAGCUCAGGGCAAACCUGACCCUCAAGCCCUAGAACAUCUACAAAUGCACAACUCUUCUCCAUUUGGAAGGAAUUCUGGCACGAAAAAAAGUUUCAAUGAUGUUUGCCUUCAAAAUAAACAACUAGCUUCCCUGAAAGUAACAUAAUGCAGGCUGGAUCUACACUGCCCUGUAUCCCAGGAUCUGAUCCCAGAUUAUUUGUUUGUCCCAGAUUAUCUGACACUGUAAUAACGUAUAAUCCAGUUCAAAGCAGAUAAUCUGGGAUCAGAUCCUGGGCUAUAGGGCAGCGUAGAUCCAGCCUCAGAUUUGUAGGACAGCUGAAAGGGCAAAACCAUUCCCUUGGCGCAUAACUAAGGUUGCCUUCUAUGUUUUGUAUGGUAUACAGUGUUCCCUCACUACUUCGCGGUUCGCUUUUUGUGGAUUUGCUGUUUUUGUCACACCUCAGAAUAGCUUCACCUUGCUGAACACACCAGGCUGUACACAGGUUGAAGUCUUUUGUAGUUUAUUAGGAAAUAGGAAAUAAAUAGUUCUUAAAAAGCAAAAGUAAAGAUCCAAAAGAUUGUUGCAAAACCAAGGCUAUAAAGAAUAAUCCAAGAAAAUCUUAGGCAUAAAACAAGGUUGCAUUAAUACAUGGCAUAGUCCCAUGAACUUGAUUACAGGAUAAUCCAAGAAAGCAAGAGCUCCUCCUAACUCAAACGAGGCGUUGCUUUUGACAAAGGUUUCUUUCUCAGCACACCCUUUAAUAUUCUCUGCACAGCAUGAAUGCAUUUCUUUGCCCUCUGACCUCUUUCUCUUUUUUGUUUACUAUUCCGACACAGCCAUCUCGAUCCAGAGAUGCCAUUACAUCAAGGCCAGAUAGCUCGUUAGCAGCAGCCUCUGUCUGCUUGCUAUCUAACGGGAAGCUGUCCUCCCUUUGCACCUGGCUAGCUUCGGUAUCAUCAACACCAUUCCCUGCCGUGGGAAUGCCUCCCUGCUCCUCAUCUCUCACAACAGGGACACUCUGAACCUGAAUUCCCAUCAGAGUCAUCUUGAACCUGAAUCCCAUCAUCGUGAACAUCUGAAACAUCUGGAACCUGAAUCCCACAAUCCCCAUCAGAGUCAUUCUGAGACUCCAGCUGAGUCACAAUAGUUUUGUGGUUUUUCAAUAAACGCUAAAAGAAUAUUAAAGGUAAAGGUUUUCCCCUGACGUUAAGUCCAGUCGUGACCUACUCUGGGGGUUGGUGCUCAUCUCCAUUUCUAAGCCGAAGAGCUGGCGUUGUCCGUAGACACCUCCAAGGUCAUGUGGCCGGCAUGACUGCAUGGAGCGCCGUUACCUUCCUGCCGGAACAGUACCUAUUGAUCUACUCACAUUAGCAUGUUUUCGAAGUGCUAGGUUGGCAGGAGCUGGGGCUAACAGUGGUGGCUCAUUCCGCUCCCAGGAUUUGAACCUGGGACCUUUCGGUCUGCAAGUUCAGCAGCUCAGCGCUUUAUCACACUGCGCCACCACCAGGGGCCCCACCACCAUAUAUAAUAUAUGAUAUAAUAAAUAAUAUAAUAAACCAUAAAUAAUUAUGAAUUUCCCUUCCUUCCUUUCUCUUUCUCCUUCCUUCCUAAGGAGAAGCUCAAGGAAGGAGGAAGGAAGGAAGAAGCCGAAGGGAGAGAAAAGGAGGCUGAAGCAGCUUCGUGAGAUUGUAAACAACACAGUCGAGCAGCAUCAGUGAGAUUGUAAACAACACAAAUAUAGUGUCCCUACUUUGCGGAUUUUCACUUUUUGCGGGUGGUCCUGGAAUGUAACCCUCGCGAUAAAUGAGGUACAGUGUUUUAAGAGAGAUAGUUCUAGGUCUAGUGGCACGUGAUGAUACAGUGCUUUAGGUCGGUGUCCAGUUUUGGACGUCACAAUUCAAGAGUGAUAUUGAAAAGCUGAAAGGCGUCCAGAGAAGGACCAAAAAUCGUCAAAAGUCUGGAAGUCUUUUGUGAGGAGCAGCUUAGGGAGCUGAGUAUGUUUAGCUUGGAGAAGAGACAUACGUGAUAGCCAUGUUUAAAGAUUUGACAUUAUGCCACAUUGAAAAUGGAGCAAGCUUGUUUUGCUGCCCUAGAGCAGUGGUCCUCAACAUGUGGGUCCCCAGGUGUUUUGGCCUACAACUCCCAGAAAUCCCAACCAAUUUACCAGCUGAGCAAGGAUCCAAAACAUCUACAGGUUGAGAAUCACUGCUCUAGAGCUUGAGAUUCAAACUGCAGAACAAGAGAAUUUGUCUAAUCACUUGGAAGUACUUCCCGACAGUAAGAGCUAUGGCCCCUUCCACACAGCUCAAUAAAAUUUUCUGCUUUGAACUGGAAUAUAUGGCUGAGUGGACUCAGAUAACCAGUUCAAAACAUAUAUUGUGGUGUUUUCUGCCUUAAUAUUCUGGGUUAUAUGGCUGUGUGGAAGGGCCCUGUGUUACAAUGUAAUACGUUGCCUUGGAGUCGCCUUCUCCGGAAGUUUUUAAAAAUAAGCUGGAUGGCUAUCUACUGAGAGUGGUUGGAUUAUGUCUUCCUGCCUGGCAGAAUGGCGUUGGACUUGAUGGUCCUUAUGGUCCCUUCUGCUUCUAUGAUUCUGUGGCCCCAAGCAUUGAAAGUGUUGAACAAUUGCUGAUAGCCUACAGAGUGGUCAUGUAGCCUAUUAUACACUUUGAUUUGGAGGGAGGUCAGGGAUGGUCUUCUGUUUCAAUGGUUCUUGACUUUUGACUUUUCUAUGUAACAAUAUUUGAAAAAUGUUCUGUUCCUGGUUUGAAAGUGUUAUUUACUGUUUAAUUGUGCAGUAUGUACUUUUAAUUGUGCAGUACAGUAGUUGUUUUUGCGAUUGGCACAAACUACCCUGUUUCCCUAAAAAUAAGACAUCCCCAAAAAAUAAGACCUAGUAUAGGUUUUGCUGAAUUGCUAAAUAUAAGGCCUCCCCCGAAAGUAAGACCUAGCAAAGGUUUUGUUUGGAGGCAUGCCCGACACCCGCCAAACAAAACACCAGAGCAUGCAGGAUUGGUAAAUGUACAUACCAGUUGUACAUGAAAAUAAUAGUAGUAACAGGAAAUUCUUGACAGGAGUCACAGUUUGUUUGGUUUGGUUAUGUUGGUUUGUGAUAACAACUACUGUACAGUAUAUAAAAAUGUUCAUUUUUUGUUCAACAAUAAAUGUGAAUUCUUCUUCAUGGAAAAAUAAGACAUCCCCUGAAAAUAAGACCUAGCACAUCUUUGGGAGUAAAAAAUAAUAUAAGACACUGUCUUAUUUUCGGGGAAACACGGUAUAUUGAAUUGGUUGACACUCUAUGAGAUAUUCAUUGAAAAACUAUUGCAAAAUGUGCUUCAGGGUAGUUUCAUAAACUUUUCCAAUGUUUUCAUGAUAGAACCAAUUAGGAAAUGACAUUUAUAACCCAGCAACAAAAAUUGUGUUACAUGGUGUAUUUUUUGCUUCCAUUCUCACAAUCCUUGAUCAUUUUUCAUGCUGGUUGGGGCUUCUGGGAGUUGACGAAAACAACUGAAUGUUCAAAGGUCAAGAAUCCUUACUCUGCUUGAAGGUCUUCUCAGUAUGAAAGACUAUUCAGGUCAAGUUGGGAUGAUGAGAAGGAAGGACCAGGGUCCCUUCCAGAUCAACAGAUUCUGGAUGGAAACAAAGUAAACUGGUCACCGUCUUCCUCGAUAUGGUGGGAUUCAUUGUAUUUCUAUGUAUACCAUUGAGGAAAUAGAGAAUAUGUCAUGGUAGAGUCACACAGUGGUUGUACAAUGCUGUCUUUUUUACUGAAUAGACACAUUGGUGAUUUAGCAGUCCAGUGUGCAAUAUAUUUAUUAUUUAUUUAUUUAUUUACAGCAUUUAUAUUCCGCCCUUCUCACCCCGAAGGGGACUCAGGGUGGAUCACAUCACACAUAUAGGCAAACAUUCAAUGCCUUUUUAACACAGAACAAAGACAGACAAACACAGGCUCCGAGCGAGCCUCGAACUCACGACCUCCUGGUCAGAAUGACCCAUUGCAGCAAUUCCUUGCAGCUGCUCUCCAGCCUGCGCCACAGCCUGAGCCCGAACUGUGUACAUCCACAGUUCACAAUGGCGGCCCUAUACAUACAAUGUGCAUGCAAGAUGAUGCUACAUGUGCAAAUCUGCCUUUGCCAGUGGCCAUGUGAAAAGGGAUAUUCUGAGGCCCCAUCCACACUAUCAUAUUAUAUUCAGAUUAUUUACUUUUAUAAUCUGAUUUAUAUGGCAGUGUAAAUCUAGACUGAGAGUUGCAGUAAAAACUCCCUCUUUUAAAGUUUUGGUAGUGCUAUAUCCUUAUUGGCCAUAUUUUCAAUGAAGCAUUGUGUAUGUUUUUGUGUGUAUGAACUGCAUUCUUUUGAUUGCUGAUUCUUAUAGGUCUGUCAUUACCCAUGGCAUAAAUGGACCCAUCUACACUGCCAUAUAAAAUCCAGAUUUUCUGCUUUGAACUGGAUUAUAUGGCAGUGUAGACUCAUAUAAUCCAGUUCAAUAAUCUGGUUUAUCUACUUUGAUAAUCUGGAUUUUAUGGCAGUGUAGAUCCAGUCUAAGAAAAAGAUGUCUCUGUCAGCUGAAGAAAAUAAAGCCAUUCUUGUGCAUCCUCACUUCUUUUCAUGAUAAUUUUGCAUUGUCCCCAUAUAAUGUUCUGGAUAGUCUACUGAAAUACCAAAGCUUGGAAACUGGACUUGGUAGUUGAUUUAUUUGUUGUAGGCUUCAGUUCCUAGUCGCCUGCAUGGCUACUAAGUUAGUUUCCCAAGCUCAGCAUGGUAGGUCGUAGGAUGGCACUUGUUUAUAUUGUUUUUAAUCAUUAUACACUUACAUUAUUCUUAUUUGUUGGGUAGUUUGUUUAAUUGAUAUUUUGCUUUUCUCCCACAACGGAUUCCAAAGUGGCUUAUGAUGUAUGAUAACACGACAUAAAACAAUAUGUAAUAUAAGCAUUUUAAAAGCAUUGAACAACACCCUAUUAAAAUCUGACUUUAA